UGAACAUAGAGGCAAGGUGUAAAUUCACGCCACACCUUUAUCAUACUUACAGGGUGAAAUCAAGUGACCCAAAAGCAGUGGGAGUGUGUGUGUUAGUGAAGUGAUCAGUAAAGCCUGGGGCAGGUUACUGGAACUGCACAAAAUGUCUCCAGGUAAAAGGUAUUAAUAUCUUACAAAAUAAAGAUGAAUAAAGAAUUGGGACUACUGCAAACUGGGAUGAAUUUGCUGCAAGAUGGAAAUGUCAUAAGGAAAAAGAAAACUGGCAAGCUUGUUUGUGCAAAGAAGAGGUUUGCUUAAAAACAAUGACAAAGGAGGCCCCCUACGGCUGGCCAAACCCUGUUAAAGUCAUUCUGAAGAUUAUUACCAUGGUCGUAGGCAAGUGUCUGCUCCAUACAUGUCGGUCUCAAUAAUGUCUGUCUCUCUCUCUC
Molecule: long non-coding RNA, 428 nt
Filed under: Anser brachyrhynchus (Pink-footed goose)
Lineage: Eukaryota; Metazoa; Chordata; Aves; Anseriformes; Anatidae
Description: lncRNA (ENSABRG00000003935.1)
Source: RNAcentral